UCCAGACUCCUACGGGAGGCAGCAGUGGGGAAUAUUGGGCAAUGGGCGCAAGCCUGACCCAGCAACGCCGCGUGAAGGAAGAAGGCUUUCGGGUUGUAAACUUCUUUUAAGAGGGAAGAGUAGAAGACGGUACCUCUUGAAUAAGCCACGGCUAACUACGUGCCAGCAGCCGCGGUAAUACGUAGGUGGCAAGCGUUGUCCGGAUUUACUGGGUGUAAAGGGCGUGUAGCCGGGCCGGCAAGUCAGAUGUGAAAUCCCAAGGCUCAACCUUGGAACUGCAUUUGAAACUGUUGGUCUUGAGUAUCGGAGAGGCAGGCGGAAUUCCUAGUGUAGCGGUGAAAUGCGUAGAUAUUAGGAGGAACACCAGUGGCGAAGGCGGCUUACUGGACUGUAACUGACGUUGAGGCUCGAAAGCGUGGGGAGCAAACAGGAUUAGAUACCCUCGUAC
RNAcentral lists this ribosomal RNA (448 nucleotides) under uncultured bacterium. Its description in RNAcentral is "bacterial SSU rRNA". It matches the Rfam family "Bacterial small subunit ribosomal RNA", at positions 330 to 793 of the family's 1533-position model. The record is from RNAcentral.